Molecule: ribosomal RNA, 253 nt
Filed under: uncultured bacterium
Lineage: Bacteria
Description: partial 16S ribosomal RNA
Rfam family: Bacterial small subunit ribosomal RNA
Source: RNAcentral
UACAGAGGUCCCAAGCGUUGUUCGGAUUCACUGGGCGUAAAGGGUGCGUAGGCGGUUGGAUAAGCCCUCCGUGAAAUCUCCAGGCUUAACCUGGAAAGUGCAGAGGGGACUGUUCAGCUAGAGGAUGGGAGAGGAGCGCGGAAUUCCCGGUGUAGCGGUGAAAUGCGUAGAGAUCGGGAGGAAGGCCGGUGGCGAAGGCGGCGCUCUGGAACAUUUCUGACGCUGAGGCUCGAAAGCGUGGGGAGCAAACAGG